AUGGUGUGAGCUGCGUGAGGAGGGGAAAAAUGCUCUUUGGCACCGACCGCAAUGUAUCAGAGUCUUAAUUUAGGAAUGUUGGACCCAAAAGUGUGAGCGGACUUGGAACGCGUACCUGUUAUGGAAUCAUGGGUUUGGAAGACAUCCAAAGAUGGAAGAACCCGCCUCGGCCAGGGAACCGUUAUGGAGGUAGCAAACGCUGGCAGGUUGUUGUUGCUGGAUUGGCUCCUUGCCACAAUUGGAAUGAGAGAUGGAGGCUCACUCCGUCACAUUCCUCUCCUGUUGCAGAUGCUAAGAGGCAACACCAUCUGUCCAAGAGCUUGGAUAGAAAAGGGGCCUUUUGGCAGCCCUCAGAUACUUCCUCCUCUCCACAAACAGGAAACCUGUAUCAGCUGGGGCUUGGUUUGGGACUUGUAAGCAUUCUCCUUGGCCUGGUCCAAGCAACUGGCCUUGGGGAGAAAGAAGAGAGGUCAGUGGGAAUCGCGUUUCGUGCAAACAAGACAAGGCGUCCGGAUGCAUCGCCGUUGUUCGGCACAAAGACGGUCCCUUUGGGAGUUCCAUCUCCUUGCUUCUUCUCUAUCUCUCUAUCCAAUGUGAUUGCAGUCUGCAUCAAUAGUUAUAAGGCUGUUGCACCUCAGCACUGGAUCACCUUGCUCUUAACACACACUCCACCACAGCAGACUUGGAUUUCUCAGUUCAUUGAUAAAAGAUAGCAAAAUCUUAACAAAAAGCAGUAAUCCAAUUGCAUAGUCAAUCUGCAGAAUACAGUUCAAAGUCUUUGUAGAAAAUAGUUCAAAGUCUCUAAAAUAACAUUUCAGUCCUGGAACGCAAGGUAGCAUGAUCUCCAAAAUACAAUCCAAAUGCAGAAUCUAAGCAGGAACAGAAGCAAGGAUCUAUUUCCAUGAGCAGAGACAAGGCAGGAGUUAAGCUUCCAAAAAUCAACAUUGCUCUGUCUGAAAUCUUUCCCAGUUUCACCCUUUUUGACCAUGCUUUUUUUUUUUUCAUGUCAGGAGCAACCUGAGUUGCUUCUGGAGUGAGAGAAUUGGCUAUCUGCAAGGACGGU
RNAcentral lists this long non-coding RNA (1063 nucleotides) under Anolis carolinensis (green anole). RNAcentral describes it as "lncRNA (ENSACAG00000040995.1)". Lineage: Eukaryota; Metazoa; Chordata; Lepidosauria; Squamata; Anolidae. The record is from RNAcentral.